UUCUUGAAACUUAAAAAAUUUGGCGGUAUUUUAGUCUAUUCAGAGGAACCUGUCUUGUAAUCGAUAAUCCACGAUGGACCUUACUUAAAUUUGUAUUCAGUUUAUAUACCGUCGUUAUUAGAAUAUUUUAUAAGAAAGUUAAUUUUCAAGAUUUCUAAAAAGAAAAUAUAUCAGAUCAAGGUGUAGCUUAUAUUUAAGUAUUGAUGGGUUACAAUAAAAUUAUUUAAAUGGAUAUAAAUUUGAAAAAUUUAUUGAAAGUGGAUUUGAUAGUAAAAUUAUAGAGAUUAAUAGUUUGAUUUUAGCUCUAAAAUAUGCACACAUCGCCCGUCACUCUUAUUACUAAGGUAAGAUAAGUCGUAACAUAGUAGAUGUACUGGAAAGUGUACCUAGAAUGC
This 395-nucleotide ribosomal RNA is filed under the name Sarcophaga bullata (grey fleshfly). RNAcentral describes it as "partial 12S ribosomal RNA". The record is from RNAcentral. Lineage: Eukaryota; Metazoa; Arthropoda; Insecta; Diptera; Sarcophagidae.